This 498-nucleotide ribosomal RNA is filed under the name uncultured bacterium. RNAcentral describes it as "partial 16S ribosomal RNA". It matches the Rfam family "Bacterial small subunit ribosomal RNA", at positions 29 to 523 of the family's 1533-position model. The record is from RNAcentral.
AUUGAACGCUGGCGGCAUGCUUUACACAUGCAAGUCGAACGGUAACAGGCCGCAAGGUGCUGACGAGUGGCGAACGGGUGAGUAAUGCAUCGGAACGUGCCCAGUCGUGGGGGAUAACGCAGCGAAAGCUGUGCUAAUACCGCAUACGAUCUAUGGAUGAAAGCGGGGGACCGUAAGGCCUCGCGCGAUUGGAGCGGCCGAUGUCAGAUUAGGUAGUUGGUGGGGUAAAGGCCCACCAAGCCAACGAUCUGUAGCUGGUCUGAGAGGACGACCAGCCACACUGGGACUGGGACACGGCCCAGACUCCUACGGGAGGCAGCAGUGGGGAAUUUUGGACGAUGGGCGCAAGCCUGAUCCAGCAAUGCCGCGUGCAGGAAGAAGGCCUUCGGGUUGUAAACUGCUUUUGUACGGAACGAAAAGGUCUGGGUUAAUACCCUGGGCCGAUGACGGUACCGUAAGAAUAAGCACCGGCUAACUACGUGCCAGCCGCCGCCGUAA